Etheostoma cragini (Arkansas darter) is the source of this 94-nucleotide long non-coding RNA. RefSeq lists it as uncharacterized. The record is from RefSeq and is a predicted model, not a curated record. The transcript is spliced from 3 exons. NCBI's taxonomy places the organism in Eukaryota, Metazoa, Chordata, Actinopteri, Perciformes, Percidae.
AACACGUUUUAAAAUAUGAUCAUUACUUAAUCAGUAAACCGAAAGAGGACAUUAGGAUAAAAUGAGACUAAAACUGGUAAAUUAUUUUCUUCUA